UCGGGGAUCGUCUAGUGGUAGGACAGCGGCCUUUGGAGCCGUCAACCGGGGUUCGAAUCCCUGUCCCCGAGCCA
This 74-nucleotide transfer RNA is filed under the name Parcubacteria group bacterium. Its description in RNAcentral is "tRNA-Gln". It matches the Rfam family "tRNA". Rfam says of the family: Transfer RNA (tRNA) molecules are approximately 80 nucleotides in length. The record is from RNAcentral.